This 487-nucleotide ribosomal RNA is filed under the name uncultured bacterium. RNAcentral's name for it is "bacterial SSU rRNA". It matches the Rfam family "Bacterial small subunit ribosomal RNA", at positions 8 to 507 of the family's 1533-position model. The record is from RNAcentral.
AGAGUUUGAUCAGUGGCUCAGGACGAACGCUGGCGGCGUGCUUAACACAUGCAAGUCGAACGGUGACCCAGGGCUUGCCCUGGUGAUCAGUGGCGAACGGGUGAGUAACACGUGGGCAACCUGCCCCUGACUUCGGGAUAACUCCUCGAAAGAGAAGCUAAUACCGGAUACGACCACUUCGGACAUCCGAUGGUGGUGGAAAGUUUUCGGUCAGGGAUGGGCCCGCGGCCUAUCAGCUAGUUGGUGGGGUAAUGGCCUACCGAAGGCGACGACGGGUAGCCGGCCUGAGAGGGCGACCGGCCACACUGGGACUGAGACACGGCCCAGACUCCUACGGGAGGCAGCAGUGGGGAAUAUUGCGCAAUGGGCGAAAGCCUGACGCAGCGACGCCGCGUGAGGGAUGAAGGCCUUCGGGUUGUAAACCUCUUUCAGCAGGGACGAAGCGAAAGUGACGGUACCUGCAGAAGAAGCACCGGCUAACUACGUG